Thamnophis sirtalis is the source of this 317-nucleotide non-coding RNA. The record is from RefSeq and is a predicted model, not a curated record. Lineage: Eukaryota; Metazoa; Chordata; Lepidosauria; Squamata; Natricidae.
AUAAAGGAAGUUUGCAGCACCUAUGUUGGCACAGUAGAUUCAGAUGGACCAUCAUCUAAUUCUGUGUAUAAGGCUGAUCUGGAAAAGAAGCUGUCCUUAGAAAGACCAAGUUCUGAUGGAGAAGGUGUGGUAGAAAAUGGCAUAACCAAUGUUUGUAAUGGGAAAGAACAUGUAAAGAGGAAAAAGAGCUCAAAGGUGGACUCCAAAGGCACUGUUCCUAAAGUAACAGGGAAGAAGAUAACAAAGAUAAUUGGGCUAGGGAAAAAAAAGCCAUCUACGGAUGAACAGACCUCAUCUGCUGAAGAAGAUAUACCAAC